CUGAAUUCUGAAAGCACUCUCCGUCGUCACUCCGUUUUCCCCUCCAUUGCCAUUGAAGCUCGAGGAGCUCGUGUUCCCUCACUGGUCACUACAAUGACAACUUCAAGACGUGUUGCUGACAGGAAAGUUGCAAGGUUCGAGAGGAACAUUGAAAAGAAAACCCUCAUCCAAGAAAGGAUUCCCUGUGGGCCCUGUAGUUCUUGCCUUCAUUAUUUUUGUAGUCGUCGGUUCAUCUCUGUUUCAGAUCAUUAGGACGGCUAAGAGUCGCGGAAUGGCAUAAGCACUGAGGAUUAUGAAUUUGUAUCUUUAUGGACAAGUACAAUGGGAACAGCUUUACUAUUAUAAUAGUUCAACCAUGGUAGAGUUUCGUGUUAGAGUGUAUGGAGUUAAAAAAAUAGGUCACACUGAUCACUACUUGUGAACAGUGCAGCUUCAUACAUGUUAAUAAUUUAUAUAUGAUAUUAAAUAUUAAUAUAUGUAUGACUGAGGUCAUACAAGUGCCUAGUUCUU
Molecule: long non-coding RNA, 510 nt
Organism: Prosopis cineraria
Lineage: Eukaryota; Viridiplantae; Streptophyta; Magnoliopsida; Fabales; Fabaceae
Exons: 3
Source: RefSeq, a predicted model, not a curated record